GUCCACGCCCUAAACGAUGCAAACUUGGUGUAGGCAGUUCAGUCUGUCUGUGCCGGAGCUAACGCGUUAAGUUUGCCGCCGUGGGGAGUACGGUCGCAAGGCUGAAAACUCAAAGGAAUUGACGGGGGCCCCGCACAAGCGGUGGAGCAUGUGGUUUAAUUCGACGCAACGCGAAGAACCCUUACCUGGGCUCGAACGGCUUCGGACAAUCCUUAGAAAUAGGGACUUCCCGCAAGGGACUGGAGUCGAGGUGCUGCAUGGCUGUCGU
This 268-nucleotide ribosomal RNA is filed under the name uncultured bacterium. RNAcentral's name for it is "partial 16S ribosomal RNA". It matches the Rfam family "Bacterial small subunit ribosomal RNA", at positions 793 to 1055 of the family's 1533-position model. The record is from RNAcentral.